GAUGAACGCUGGCGGCGUGCCUAAUACAUGCAAGUCGAGCGAACGGACGAGAAGCUUGCUUCUCUGAUGUUAGCGGCGGACGGGUGAGUAACACGUGGAUAACCUACCUAUAAGACUGGGAUAACUUCGGGAAACCGGAGCUAAUACCGGAUAAUAUUUUGAACCGCAUGGUUCAAAAGUGAAAGACGGUCUUUCUGUCACUUAUAGAGGGAUCCGCGCUGCAUUAUCUAGUUGGUAAGGUAACGGCUUACCAAGGCAACGAUGCAUAGCCGACCUGAGAGGGUGAUCGGCCACACUGAAACUGAGACAGGGUCCAGACUCCUACGGGAGGCAGCAGUAGGGAAUCUUCCGCAAUGGGCGAAAGCCUGACGGAGCAACGCCGCGUGAGUGAUGAAGGUCUUCGGAUCGUAAAACUCUGUUAUUAGGGAAGAACAUAUGUGUAAGUAACUGUGCACAUCUUGACGGUACCUAAUCAGAAAGCCACGGCUAACUACGUG
This 497-nucleotide ribosomal RNA is filed under the name uncultured bacterium. Its description in RNAcentral is "partial 16S ribosomal RNA". It matches the Rfam family "Bacterial small subunit ribosomal RNA", at positions 28 to 507 of the family's 1533-position model. The record is from RNAcentral.